UUAUUUGAGAGUUUGAUCCUGGCUCAGGAUGAACGCUGGCGGCGUGCCUAACACAUGCAAGUUGAGCGAUUUACUUCGGUAAAGAGCGGCGGACGGGUGAGUAACGCGUGGGUAACCUACCCUGUACACACGGAUAACAUACUGAAAGGUAUGCUAAUACGGGAUAAUAUAUUUGAGAGGCAUCUCUUGAAUAUCAAAGGUGAGCCAGUACAGGAUGGACCCGCGUCUGAUUAGCUAGUUGGUAAGGUAACGGCUUACCAAGGCGACGAU
RNAcentral lists this ribosomal RNA (270 nucleotides) under Clostridioides difficile. Its description in RNAcentral is "partial 16S ribosomal RNA". It matches the Rfam family "Bacterial small subunit ribosomal RNA", at positions 1 to 280 of the family's 1533-position model. Lineage: Bacteria; Bacillati; Bacillota; Clostridia; Peptostreptococcales; Peptostreptococcaceae. The record is from RNAcentral.